CUGGCGGCGUGCCUAACACAUGCAAGUCGAGCGAGGAGAUCCUUCGGGAUGAUCCUAGCGGCGGACGGGUGAGUAACACGUGGGCAACCUGCCUCAUAGAGAGGAAUAGCCUUCCGAAAGGGAGAUUAAUACCUCAUAACAUUGCAGUUUCGCAUGGAACAGCAAUUAAAGGAGUAAUCCGCUAUGAGAUGGGCCCGCGGCGCAUUAGCUAGUUGGUGAGGUAACGGCUCACCAAGGCGACGAUGCGUAGCCGACCUGAGAGGGUGAUCGGCCACAUUGGGACUGAGACACGGCCCAGACUCCUACGGGAGGCAGCAGUGGGGAAUAUUGCACAAUGGGGGGAACCCUGAUGCCAGCAACGCCGCGUGAGUGAUGACGGCCUUCGGGUUGUAAAGCUCUGUCUUCAGGGACGAUAAUGACGGUACCUGAGGAGGAAGCCACGGCUAACUACGUGCCAGCCGCCGC
Molecule: ribosomal RNA, 465 nt
Filed under: uncultured bacterium
Lineage: Bacteria
Description: bacterial SSU rRNA
Rfam family: Bacterial small subunit ribosomal RNA
Source: RNAcentral